CAAGUGAUUCAAUGGAGAAUUUUGCUGCCCCAGUUGUUUCAAAAGAAAGUGCAGUGAGUUAGCAUGCCGGUUUCUGAAAUAAAAAUGUGGGAAUGUGGGAUGAUACUGAGACUCAAACUGCUAUCCGUGCUGCAGCCUUGGGUUAAAUGCUAACAUGCUGACACGCACAGGGCCAGAAGGUCUCAAGAUCCUGUGUCCUUGAUGAUGGUAGCUAUGGAACCGUGAGCCUCUGGAUGUCUUGCUAGACAAGCCACAGUGUCCUCUGUUGCCAUGGGUAGGCAGAGCAUGGACAUAUCAUCAGCAUGAAAUCAGCGCCAGGAGGAGAGAUGUUCUGGAUUCUUGUGAUGAUGUGAUGACACAAAGAAGCCUUUGAGGAGGUGAUACAAUGGUUGUAGGCACAGGACUUGAAUGCAGAGAUGUACAGCUGGAAAGGCUUUCAAUUAAAGGUUCAGGGGAAAGCACUGACUAUGUAUUAAUUCCUAUAAGUUUCUGAAGUUCCUUUAGACUCCUGGUCAAGAUGGCCGCCUGAGAUCAUUGGUGCACCCCUUUCUGCUCUAACAAUAAAGCAUAGAAAGGCACAGAUGUGCUCAAGAGCUGGAAAGGAAGAUCUCCAGACACCAGAAACAGGAAGCAGAGGUGGAUCAGAAGAAGACCUGGGGCCUCUGGAUAAAGGCAUCGAGCGCUGAAGCUUAAUUUGGAUAUCAGCAAAUUGAAACUCAAGCUCAUCCAUCUUUUCUGGAAUUUUGAACAUAUUCUGAUUUGUAGAGCGUUUGGAAAAAACUAAGUCACAAUUUAUUUUUUUAUCUCGGAAGAAAACUAUCAGAAUUCAAGUUCUCGGGGCAUCAACUGUGUUCACUGAUCUCUGAACUUGUACCACCAAGCACAAAGCCUGGUGUGCCGCGGCUACUCAUUCUGACAUCCCUCCACUAUGAAGAAAACUCCUUGCCUUCCCCUCAUGAUCUCAAGAUGGCUGCCUGUGCUCCAAACCUCAUGUCAUCACGUGAUAGCAUGCCAGCGAGCAGGAGGAGCUGGUGCACAAGGCUUUCUCUUCCAUGUGUCUCUUUUGUCACAAGGAAAUCAGUCCUAGGAAUCUGGAACAGGCUUCUUUCACCGCUCUGCAGGACCGGAGAGUCCCUUUCAGAGUGCUGGGAUUACAGGCAUGUGCUACCACAGCUGGCUCUCCUUGUUGAAUCCUUGAGAUCCUGGCUCAGAAUAUGGCCCACAGCAGACCGUGCGGGUUCAUUGAAGAGACGCAGGAAACUCUGCAGCCGUGACCUCGGCUAGCUGCUGCUGUCCCCUCAUCGCCCAACAUUUCGCACUGCCACAUCCCAGGAGGGCACUGUAGAUGGCCACCUCCCCUUUUCAUCGAGGGCCUUACUUCAGGGAACAAGAACCAAACUAGCGGUUUUGUUCGGACUCUGUGGUAACAGCCGGCCUCCCGUUUUCCCCUUUUUUGAAAGCACCUGGCCCACAUCUGCGUAUGCUGGGAAGCAUCUCCCGGGAGCACCUUGCCCGGUGGGAUCUGUAAAUGUGUCAGGGUCUGUUCCACAGGCUGGCUCUUCCCCAGUCUCUAAGACAGUCAUGACAAAGGCCAAGAAAUGCCACAUGCAGAGCCUGGCGCUGUAACUGUGCCUAGGGGAGCAGGAGUGACUGGUCUUUUGGGCAAGACACAAUCAGCUCUGCUGAGAGGUUAUGCAGGAAGGAGGAGCCGAUCUCUUCCGUCCUGGCUGGGAAGCUUGGGUGGCGCCCCUUGGAGGACACGGGGUUUGCUGGGAGGAAUGCACCUUGGUCGUGAGAGAAGAUGUCCCUCCACUCUGUGCCCAUCACUCCAGGCCAGAGGCAGAAACUAUGAAGAAAACAGCAGGAGUUUUCUUCUGCCACAAGAGUCAAGCACAGCUGUCAAUGGAUGAGGAUGUGGCUCAGCGGUAGCGCGGUACCGGGCGCCCACAAGGUCCUGGGUUCCAGCCCGAGCAUCACAAAAACUAGAAACAAAGCAAAACCAAAAAACAGCUGUUGAUAAAAGAGGUGAAGUAAUUGUGAAGAUUUUAAUCAGGAUCCAAGUGAAUAUCAGUAGUCAAGAGGAAGGGAACAGGAAUCAACACAUCACUUCUUAUUGCUGGGAGCAGCAGGUUAUGGACCCCAUCCUGUGAUGUAUCAAAUGUGUUUAAUACCCUCAGACUCUCUUGAUAUUUGCCUGCACACCCAGGUGGGUGCUGUGGGAUUCCUCCAGGUGGCAGUGGCUGGCCUGGAGUCACUUCUGCAGGAAGGCGGCUCUCCCUGGAAAAUAGCUGAUCUACAUUUCUGCAGGAUCAAUGCUGUGGAGACUGCAUAAAUUGGUCUCAGCAAAACACAAGAAUUAAAAGAUAUUGAGUGCAGUGGCAGCUGGCCUGAGACCCGUGUGAAUGGGUUAGAUUUCACGUGACGGUUUUCUCUCAGAUAGGUUCUUCCCACCAUCUCUUCAGCAAUUCUGUUUUCAUUAUCUCCCAGACGGUCUGUAGAGGCCAGUCACUAUGAAAAAAUGGAACAGAAAGUAGACGAGAGCACAAAGAAAUAAAUACUAUCCCAUGAGCUUUGGGCAAUGCUAGUC
This is a long non-coding RNA of Chinchilla lanigera (long-tailed chinchilla), 2587 nucleotides long. RefSeq lists it as uncharacterized. The record is from RefSeq and is a predicted model, not a curated record. The transcript is spliced from 10 exons. NCBI's taxonomy places the organism in Eukaryota, Metazoa, Chordata, Mammalia, Rodentia, Chinchillidae.